GGGAUCACGUGAGAAAACCACACACGAAAAAUGUUCGCAUAAGAUACGGCAAAAAUGUAAAGGUAAUGUCGCUGUUGUGGCCUUGAAGCAUUGAAGAUGCUAGGGAUCACCAGAUCUCCAGAUCCAGUGAGAAAACCACACACGAAAAAUUUUCGCAUAAGAGACAAGUAAGGUUGUCUGAACCUAAUUAUUCGUCUAUUAAUGUAAAACUAUUAUCUGUAUUUUUUAAUUUUUACCAGUUUAAUUUUGGAUGCUUUCUAUUUUGCGAUAAGCAUGUUUUCUUGGAUUGAAGGAAAGCAACAAAAGUAAAAUGAAAGUAAUGUAUCAAUGCAAAUUGCUAUACCUAACUGUAUUUCUACGCAAUAGAAUAAUCUGUGGAUGAACGAAAAUACUCUUCUAUCAAUGUGAAACUAUUAACUGUAUUUUGUUGUUGUGGCUAAUAUUCAAAUUUGUAAUUGCGUAUAGAAUUUUUGUUAAGAGCACAUUGCGAAACACUUUGAUUGAUCGAGAACAAAAUGAAAGGGCAAAAGCCACAGCGGGAACAUGUAAGGAAUAUAAAAUAAUAAGUGCAGUUUUUUAGUUAAAGGUUUGUGUUUUAUCUCAGUCACACAUCAUUGCGACAACGGCAAAAAUGCUGAAAAUGUUAAUUUCGAUUUUUAGACCGUAGUUAUAAGUUAUAUUUUAAUUUAUUUGUUAUCCAUUUAAUUAGUUUUAGAUUAGUAGCAAGUAACUCUUGUUGUUGAAAAUUUACAUCAGUAAAUACUUAAAUAUAUGAAUAAACUAAUAAGA
Dendroctonus ponderosae (mountain pine beetle) is the source of this 789-nucleotide long non-coding RNA. RefSeq lists it as uncharacterized. The record is from RefSeq and is a predicted model, not a curated record. The transcript is spliced from 2 exons. NCBI's taxonomy places the organism in Eukaryota, Metazoa, Arthropoda, Insecta, Coleoptera, Curculionidae.